Molecule: ribosomal RNA, 396 nt
Filed under: uncultured bacterium
Lineage: Bacteria
Description: bacterial SSU rRNA
Rfam family: Bacterial small subunit ribosomal RNA
Source: RNAcentral
GGAAUAUUGGACAAUGGGCGAAAGCCUGAUCCAGCAAUGCCGCGUGAGUGAUGAAGGCCUUAGGGUUGUAAAGCUCUUUUACUGGGGAUGAUAAUGACAGUACCCAGAGACUGAGCUCCGGCUAACUCCGUGCCAGCAGCCGCGGUAAUACGGAGGGGGCUAGCGUUGUUCGGAAUUACUGGGCGUAAAAGGCACGUAGGCGGCUAUUUAAGUCAGAGGUGAAAUCCCGGGGCUCAACCCCGGAACUGCCUUUGAAACUGCAUAGCUAGAAUCUUGGAGAGGCGAGUGGAAUUCCGAGUGUAGAGGUGAAAUUCGUAGAUAUUCGGAAGAACACCAGUGGCGAAGGCGACUCGCUGGACAAGUAUUGACGCUGAGGUGCGAAAGCGUGGGGAGCAA